GUCCUGGUCGAUUAGUGGUCAAAUCAUCUCGUUGUGGUGAAGAUAAUAUCUGCUAUUCGCUCCGAGAAGCCGAGGGCUCGACUCCCUCCCGGGACA
Molecule: non-coding RNA, 96 nt
Organism: Paramarasmius palmivorus
Lineage: Eukaryota; Fungi; Basidiomycota; Agaricomycetes; Agaricales; Marasmiaceae
Source: the annotation of a GenBank genome assembly